GGGAAUAUAAUGAGUCAUCUUGCUCUUCCGGUGCGGCUUACAAGAUGUAUAUAGGGUGGACUAAACUGACUGCAGUCAAAUACGGAAACAAAUCCGCUAAUCACAAAACCCGAACCGUGGGCCCUCCAGGCGUCCUCACAAGACUCACGUUAUAAUUCGGAUCAUAUCCAACAAACUUCACAUUGAGAUGAAUUUCAUCUUGUAACAAAUGAAGUAUCAUCAAUGAACUCA
This 231-nucleotide long non-coding RNA is filed under the name Setaria italica (foxtail millet). RNAcentral describes it as "long non-coding RNA (SITA_LNC006145)". The record is from RNAcentral. Lineage: Eukaryota; Viridiplantae; Streptophyta; Magnoliopsida; Poales; Poaceae.